UCCCUGGUGGCCCAGUGGUUAAGACUCUGUGCUCCCAAUGCAGGGGCCCUGGUUCGGUCCCUGGUCAGGGAA
RNAcentral lists this transfer RNA (72 nucleotides) under Bos taurus (domestic cattle). It matches the Rfam family "tRNA". From Rfam's summary of the family: Transfer RNA (tRNA) molecules are approximately 80 nucleotides in length. Lineage: Eukaryota; Metazoa; Chordata; Mammalia; Artiodactyla; Bovidae. The record is from Rfam by way of RNAcentral. RNAcentral also lists the same sequence under 5 other names.